GGGCCCAUAGCUCAGUUGGCAGAGCCACCGGCUCAUAACCGGAAGGUCCCAGGUUCGAUUCCUGGUGGGCCCACCA
Molecule: transfer RNA, 76 nt
Filed under: Candidatus Desulfofervidus auxilii
Lineage: Bacteria; Pseudomonadati; Thermodesulfobacteriota; Candidatus Desulfofervidia; Candidatus Desulfofervidales; Candidatus Desulfofervidaceae
Also listed under: 2 other names
Description: tRNA-Met
Rfam family: tRNA
About the family: Transfer RNA (tRNA) molecules are approximately 80 nucleotides in length. Their secondary structure includes four short double-helical elements and three loops (D, anti-codon, and T loops). Further hydrogen bonds mediate the characteristic L-shaped molecular structure. tRNAs have two regions of fundamental functional importance: the anti-codon, which is responsible for specific mRNA codon recognition, and the 3' end, to which the tRNAs corresponding amino acid is attached (by aminoacyl-tRNA synthetases). tRNAs cope with the degeneracy of the genetic code in two manners: having more than one tRNA (with a specific anti-codon) for a particular amino acid; and 'wobble' base-pairing, i.e. permitting non-standard base-pairing at the 3rd anti-codon position.
Source: RNAcentral